UUAAAUUGAAGAGUUUGAUCAUGGCUCAGAUUGAACGCUGGCGGCAGGCCUAACACAUGCAAGUCGAACGGUAACAGGAAGCAGCUUGCUGCUUUGCUGACGAGUGGCGGACGGGUGAGUAAUGUCUGGGAAACUGCCUGAUGGAGGGGGAUAACUACUGGAAACGGUAGCUAAUACCGCAUAACGUCGCAAGACCAAAGAGGGGGACCUUAGGGCCUCUUGCCAUCGGAUGUGCCCAGAUGGGAUUAGCUAGUAGGUGGGGUAACGGCUCACCUAGGCGACGAUCCCUAGCUGGUCUGAGAGGAUGACCAGCCACACUGGAACUGAGACACGGUCCAGACUCCUACGGGAGGCAGCAGUGGGGAAUAUUGCACAAUGGGCGCAAGCCUGAUGCAGCCAUGCCGCGUGUAUGAAGAAGGCCUUCGGGUUGUAAAGUACUUUCAGCGGGGAGGAAGGGAGUAAAGUUAAUACCUUUGCUCAUUGACGUUACCCGCAGAAGAAGCACCGGCUAACUCCGUGCCAGCAGCCGCGGUAAUACGGAGGGUGCAAGCGUUAAUCGGAAUUACUGGGCGUAAAGCGCACGCAGGCGGUUUGUUAAGUCAGAUGUGAAAUCCCCGGGCUCAACCUGGGAACUGCAUCUGAUACUGGCAAGCUUGAGUCUCGUAGAGGGGGGUAGAAUUCCAGGUGUAGCGGUGAAAUGCGUAGAGAUCUGGAGGAAUACCGGUGGCGAAGGCGGCCCCCUGGACGAAGACUGACGCUCAGGUGCGAAAGCGUGGGGAGCAAACAGGAUUAGAUACCCUGGUAGUCCACGCCGUAAACGAUGUCGACUUGGAGGUUGUGGCCUUGAGGCGUGGCUUCCGGAGCUAACGCGUUAAGUCGACCGCCUGGGGAGUACGGCCGCAAGGUUAAAACUCAAAUGAAUUGACGGGGGCCCGCACAAGCGGUGGAGCAUGUGGUUUAAUUCGAUGCAACGCGAAGAACCUUACCUGGUCUUGACAUCCACGGAAGUUUUCAGAGAUGAGAAUGUGCCUUCGGGAACCGUGAGACAGGUGCUGCAUGGCUGUCGUCAGCUCGUGUUGUGAAAUGUUGGGUUAAGUCCCGCAACGAGCGCAACCCUUAUCCUUUGUUGCCAGCGGUCCGGCCGGGAACUCAAAGGAGACUGCCAGUGAUAAACUGGAGGAAGGUGGGGAUGACGUCAAGUCAUCAUGGCCCUUACGACCAGGGCUACACACGUGCUACAAUGGCGCAUACAAAGAGAAGCGACCUCGCGAGAGCAAGCGGACCUCAUAAAGUGCGUCGUAGUCCGGAUUGGAGUCUGCAACUCGACUCCAUGAAGUCGGAAUCGCUAGUAAUCGUGGAUCAGAAUGCCACGGUGAAUACGUUCCCGGGCCUUGUACACACCGCCCGUCACACCAUGGGAGUGGGUUGCAAAAGAAGUAGGUAGCUUAACCUUCGGGAGGGCGCUUACCACUUUGUGAUUCAUGACUGGGGUGAAGUCGUAACAAGGUAACCGUAGGGGAACCUGCGGUUGGAUCACCUCCUUACCUUAAAGAAGC
Molecule: ribosomal RNA, 1556 nt
Filed under: Escherichia coli
Lineage: Bacteria; Pseudomonadati; Pseudomonadota; Gammaproteobacteria; Enterobacterales; Enterobacteriaceae
Description: bacterial SSU rRNA
Rfam family: Bacterial small subunit ribosomal RNA
Source: RNAcentral